This 165-nucleotide non-coding RNA is filed under the name Anaerosalibacter massiliensis. The record is from RNAcentral. Lineage: Bacteria; Bacillati; Bacillota; Tissierellia; Tissierellales; Sporanaerobacteraceae.
CUUCUAUGGUUGUUUUUACAUUAAUAGGGAAUAAGGUGAAAAACCUUAACAGCCCCCGCUACUGUAAAAGUUACAAUACUCUAAAAACGUCACUGAAAUUUAUUUUUCGGGAAGAUAAGAGUAUUAGGCUAGAAACUUUAAGUCAGGAGACCUGCCAUAGAAUAG